Molecule: ribosomal RNA, 467 nt
Filed under: uncultured bacterium
Lineage: Bacteria
Description: partial 16S ribosomal RNA
Rfam family: Bacterial small subunit ribosomal RNA
Source: RNAcentral
GACGAACGCUGGCGGCGUGCUUAACACAUGCAAGUCGAACGGAAAGGCCCUGCUUUUGUGGGGUGCUCGAGUGGCGAACGGGUGAGUAACACGUGAGUAACCUGCCCUUGACUUUGGGAUAACUUCAGGAAACUGGGGCUAAUACCGGAUAGGAGCUCCUGCUGCAUGGUGGGGGUUGGAAAGUUUCGGCGGUUGGGGAUGGACUCGCGGCUUAUCAGCUUGUUGGUGGGGUAGUGGCUUACCAAGGCUUUGACGGGUAGCCGGCCUGAGAGGGUGACCGGCAACAUUGGGACUGAGAUACGGCCCAGACUCAUACGGGAGGCAGCAGUGGGGAAUAUUGCACAAUGGGCGGAAGCCUGAGGCAGCAACGCCGCGUGCGGGAUGACGGCCUUCGGGUUGUAAACCGCUUUCGCCUGUGACGAAGCGUAAGUGACGGUAAUGGGUAAAGAAGCACCGGCUAACUACGU